Molecule: small nuclear RNA, 170 nt
Organism: Xiphophorus couchianus (Monterrey platyfish)
Lineage: Eukaryota; Metazoa; Chordata; Actinopteri; Cyprinodontiformes; Poeciliidae
Gene: U2
Rfam family: U2 spliceosomal RNA
About the family: U2 is a small nuclear RNA (snRNA) component of the spliceosome (involved in pre-mRNA splicing). Complementary binding between U2 snRNA (in an area lying towards the 5' end but 3' to hairpin I) and the branchpoint sequence (BPS) of the intron results the bulging out of an unpaired adenosine, on the BPS, which initiates a nucleophilic attack at the intronic 5' splice site, thus starting the first of two transesterification reactions that mediate splicing.
Source: Ensembl
AACAAUAAAAUAUUUCGGGGGGAAAAUCUGUUCUUAUCAGUUUAAUAUCUGAUACGUCCCCUACCCGGGGACCAUUUAUUAAAUCGAUCUUUGGAGCAGGGAGAUGGAACAGGGGCUUGCUCGGUCCACUCCACGCAUCGACCAGAACCUCCAGGAACGAUGCAGCCCCU